This is a non-coding RNA of Pongo abelii (Sumatran orangutan), 45 nucleotides long. NCBI's taxonomy places the organism in Eukaryota, Metazoa, Chordata, Mammalia, Primates, Hominidae. The record is from Rfam.
CCAAAGGCUCUUUUCAGAGCCAUCGUUUUCCUUGGCCAAUAGGGG